This 496-nucleotide ribosomal RNA is filed under the name uncultured bacterium. RNAcentral's name for it is "partial 16S ribosomal RNA". It matches the Rfam family "Bacterial small subunit ribosomal RNA", at positions 28 to 506 of the family's 1533-position model. The record is from RNAcentral.
GAUGAACGCUGGCGGCGUGCCUAAUACAUGCAAGUCGAGCGAACGGACGAGAAGCUUGCUUUUCUGAUGUUAGCGGCGGACGGGUGAGUAACACGUGGAUAACCUACCUAUAAGACUGGGAUAACUUCGGGAAACCGGAGCUAAUACCGGAUAAUAUUUUGAACCGCAUGGUUCAAAAGUGAAAGACGGUCUUGCUGUCACUUAUAGAUGGAUCCGCGCUGCAUUAGCUAGUUGGUAAGGUAACGGCUUACCAAGGCAACGAUGCAUAGCCGACCUGAGAGGGUGAUCGGCCACACUGGACCUGAGACCCGGUCCAGACUCCUACGGGAGGCAGCAGUAGGGACUCUUCCGCAAUGGGCGAAAGCCUGACGGAGCAACGCCGCGUGAGUGAUGAAGGUCUUCGGAUCGUAAAACUCUGUUAUUAGGGAAGAACAUAUGUGUAAGUAACUGUGCACAUCUUAACGGUACCUAAUCAGAACGCCACGGCUAACUACGU